UACGGAGGGUGCAAGCGUUAUCCGGAUUUACUGGGUUUAAAGGGUGCGUAGGUGGGUAGGUAAGUCAGUGGUGAAAUCUCCGAGCUUAACUCGGAAACUGCCAUUGAUACUAUCUAUCUUGAAUAUCCUGGAGGUGAGCGGAAUAUGUCAUGUAGCGGUGAAAUGCUUAGAUAUGACAUAGAACACCAAUUGCGAAGGCAGCUCACUACGGGAUUAUUGACACUGAGGCACGAAAGCGUGGGGAUCAAACAGG
Molecule: ribosomal RNA, 253 nt
Filed under: uncultured bacterium
Lineage: Bacteria
Description: partial 16S ribosomal RNA
Rfam family: Bacterial small subunit ribosomal RNA
Source: RNAcentral